UACGUAGGGUGCGAGCGUUAAUCGGAAUUACUGGGCGUAAAGCGUGCGCAGGCGGUUCGUUGUGUCGGCGGUGAAAGCCCCGGGCUCAACCCGGGAAGUGCACUCGAUACUGCGUAGCUAGAGUAUCGGAGAGGUUGGUGGAAUUCUCGGUGUAGAGGUGAAAUUCAUAGAUAUCGAGAGGAACACCUGUGGCGAAGGCGGCCAACUGGACGAAUACUGACGCUGAGACACGAAAGCGUGGGGAGCAAACAGG
RNAcentral lists this ribosomal RNA (253 nucleotides) under uncultured bacterium. RNAcentral's name for it is "partial 16S ribosomal RNA". It matches the Rfam family "Bacterial small subunit ribosomal RNA", at positions 524 to 776 of the family's 1533-position model. The record is from RNAcentral.